GACGAACGCUGGCGGCGUGCUUAACACAUGCAAGUCGAACGGAAAGGCCCUGCUUUUGUGGGGUGCUCGAGUGGCGAACGGGUGAGUAACACGUGAGUAACCUGCCCUUGACUUUGGGAUAACUUCAGGAAACUGGGGCUAAUACCGGAUAGGAGCUCCUGCUGCAUGGUGGGGGUUGGAAAGUUUCGGCGGUUGGGGAUGGACUCGCGGCUUAUCAGCUUGUUGGUGGGGUAGUGGCUUACCAAGGCUUUGACGGGUAGCCGGCCUGAGAGGGUGACCGGCCACAUUAGUACUGAGGGACGGACCAGACUCGUACGGGAGGCAGCAGUGGAGAAUAUUGCACAGUGGGCGGGAGCCUGAUGCAGCAGCGCCGCGUGCGGAAUGACGGCCUUCGGGUUGUAAACCGCUUUCGCCUGUGACGAAGCGUGAGUGACGGUAAUGGGUAAAGAAGCACCGGCUAACUACGUG
This 468-nucleotide ribosomal RNA is filed under the name uncultured bacterium. Its description in RNAcentral is "partial 16S ribosomal RNA". It matches the Rfam family "Bacterial small subunit ribosomal RNA", at positions 28 to 507 of the family's 1533-position model. The record is from RNAcentral.